This 84-nucleotide transfer RNA is filed under the name Bacteriophage sp. Its description in RNAcentral is "tRNA-OTHER". It matches the Rfam family "tRNA". Rfam says of the family: Transfer RNA (tRNA) molecules are approximately 80 nucleotides in length. Their secondary structure includes four short double-helical elements and three loops (D, anti-codon, and T loops). The record is from RNAcentral.
UGUAGCAUAUCUCAAUGGUAGAGUGGCGUGCGCACAGAAAACAACGAUGAAAGCCGGAUGGUGGUUCGAAUCCACCUGCUACAC